Molecule: ribosomal RNA, 460 nt
Filed under: uncultured bacterium
Lineage: Bacteria
Description: partial 16S ribosomal RNA
Rfam family: Bacterial small subunit ribosomal RNA
Source: RNAcentral
CCUACGGGUGGCAGCAGUGAGGAAUAUUGGUCAAUGGGCGUAAGCCUGAACCAGCCAAGUCGCGUGAGGGAUGAAGGUUCUAUGGAUCGUAAACCUCUUUUAUAAGGGAAUAAAGUGCGGGACGUGUCCCGUUUUGUAUGUACCUUAUGAAUAAGGAUCGGCUAACUCCGUGCCAGCAGCCGCGGUAAUACGGAGGAUCCGAGCGUUAUCCGGAUUUAUUGGGUUUAAAGGGUGCGUAGGCGGCCUUUUAAGUCAGCGGGGAAAGUCUGUGGCUCAACCAUAGAAUUGCCGUUGAAACUGGGAGGCUUGAGUAUGUUUGAGGCAGGCGGAAGGCGUGGUGUAGCGUGGAAAUGCUUAGAUAUCACGCAGAACCCCGAUUGCGAAGGCAGCCUGCCAAGCCAUGACUGACGCUGAUGCACGAAAGCGUGGGGAUCAAACAGGAUUAGAUACCCGGGUAGUC